Unclassified non-coding RNA from Otolemur garnettii (small-eared galago), 271 nucleotides. It matches the Rfam family "Metazoan signal recognition particle RNA". Rfam says of the family: The signal recognition particle (SRP) is a universally conserved ribonucleoprotein. Lineage: Eukaryota; Metazoa; Chordata; Mammalia; Primates; Galagidae. The record is from Ensembl.
GCUGUGAUGGUGUGUGUGCCUGUAGUCCCAGCUACUCAGGGGCUUAGUCCAGAAGUUCUGGGCUGUAGUGUGCUAUGCCCAUUAGGUGUCCACACUAAGUCUGGCAUCAGUAUGGUGAUCUCUCGGGGAAUUGGAGUCCACCAGGUUACCUAAGGAGACGUGAACUGGCCCAGGUCAGAAACUAAGUACUUCAAAACUCCCAUGUUGGUCAGUAGUGGGACUGUGCCUUUGAAUAGCCCCUGCACUCUAGCCUGGACAACAUAGCAAGACU